CAGCCGCGGUAAUACAGAGACCACGAGCGUUAUCCGGAUUUAUUGGGCGUAAAGCGUCCGCAGGUUGUUAUGAAAGUCAUUCGUGAAACCGUUGGGCUUAACCCAACGUGCGCGGGUGAUACUUCAUAGCUAGAGGCCGGGAGAGGCACAUGGAAUUGCUGGUGUAGCGGUAAAAUGCGUUAAUAUCAGCAAGAACACCAAAGGCGAAGGCAGUGUGCUAGAACGGUCCUGACACUCAGGGACGAAAGCGUGGGGAGCGAAUGAGAUUAGAUACCUCAGUAGUCCACGCCCUAAACGAUGAAUGCUAGAUAUCGGGAGUAUCGACCCUCUCGGUGUCGGUUAACCAAGCUAACGCGUUAAGCAUUCCGCCUACGAAGUACGGCCGCAAGGCUAAAACGCAAAGGAAUAGACGGGGACCCGCACAAGCGGUGGAGCAUGUGGUUUAAUUCGACGGUAAGCGAGGAACCUUACCCAGGCUCAACUACUAGCUGCAAGCUCUAUGAAAGUAGAGUUCCUUCGAGGGUGCUAGAUAGGUGCUGCAUGGUUGUCGUCAGCUCGUGCCGUAAGGUGUACCCUUCAGUGGGGUAACGAGCGCAACCCCUAGGCCGUGUUACAAGUGUCACGGCCGACUGCCUUCGUAAGAAGGAGGAAGGCGGGGAUGACGUCAAAUCAGCAUGGCUCUUACGUCUGGGGCGACACACAUGCUACAAUGGUCGGUACAACGGGUUGCCAAACCGCAAGGUGGAGCUAAUCCCUUAAAGCCGACCCCAGUUCGGAUUGAAGUCUGAAACUCGACUUCAUGAAGUCAGAAUCGCUAGUAACGGCGCAUCAGCCACGGCGCCGUGAAUACGUUCUCGGGUCUUGU
Molecule: ribosomal RNA, 865 nt
Filed under: uncultured bacterium
Lineage: Bacteria
Description: bacterial SSU rRNA
Rfam family: Bacterial small subunit ribosomal RNA
Source: RNAcentral